This 253-nucleotide ribosomal RNA is filed under the name uncultured bacterium. RNAcentral describes it as "partial 16S ribosomal RNA". It matches the Rfam family "Bacterial small subunit ribosomal RNA", at positions 524 to 776 of the family's 1533-position model. The record is from RNAcentral.
UACGUAGGGUGCGAGCGUUACUCGGAAUUACUGGGCGUAAAGCGUGCGUAGGCGGUUCGCUGUGUCCGAUGUGAAAGCCCCGGGCUUAACCUGGGAAUGGCAUUGGAAACUGGCGGGCUUGAGUGCGGCAGAGGGGGGUGGAAUUCCGCGUGUAGCAGUGAAAUGCGUAGAGAUGUGGAGGAACACCGAUGGCGAAGGCAGCCUUCUGGGCCAACACUGACGCUCAUGCACGAAAGCGUGGGGAGCAAACAGG